GCAAACUUGGUCAUUUAGAGGAAGUAAAAGUCGUAACAAGGUUUCCGUAGGUGAACCUGCGGAAGGAUCAUUAUUGGAUUAUUAUUCUAUAUAAUCAAUCAUCUAUCCACCCUUUGUGCACAUUCAGUAGGCUUUUGGGGGCAGUUUAGUCACUUCACUUAAGUUGCUUUGCUAGCAGCCCAAGUUGCCUAUGUUUAUUUUAUUUUACACUUUGUUACUUACUUAAGAAUGUUGUUUGAAAUGGAUAUAUAAUAUAAAUUACAACUUUCAACAACGGAUCUCUUGGCUCUCGCAUCGAUGAAGAACGCAGC
RNAcentral lists this unclassified non-coding RNA (311 nucleotides) under uncultured fungus. Its description in RNAcentral is "partial contains small subunit ribosomal RNA, internal transcribed spacer 1, and 5.8S ribosomal RNA". The stretch from base 1 to 73 matches the Rfam family "Eukaryotic small subunit ribosomal RNA", at positions 1759 to 1831 of the family's 1831-position model. Lineage: Eukaryota; Fungi. The record is from RNAcentral.